Molecule: ribosomal RNA, 274 nt
Filed under: uncultured bacterium
Lineage: Bacteria
Description: partial 16S ribosomal RNA
Rfam family: Bacterial small subunit ribosomal RNA
Source: RNAcentral
AUACGGAGGGUGCAAGCGUUAUCCGGAAUCAUUGGGUUUAAAGGGUCCGUAGGCGGAUUGAUAAGUCAGAGGUGAAAUCCCACAGCUUAACUGUGGAACUGCCUUUGAUACUGUUAGUCUUGAGUUAUAUGGAAGUAGAUAGAAUGUGUAGUGUAGCGGUGAAAUGCAUAGAUAUUACACAGAAUACCGAUUGCGAAGGCAGUCUACUACGUAUAUACUGACGCUAAUGGACGAAAGCGUGGGGAGCGAACAGGAUUAGAUACCCUAGUAGUCC